RNAcentral lists this long non-coding RNA (2738 nucleotides) under Mytilus galloprovincialis (Mediterranean mussel). The record is from RNAcentral. Lineage: Eukaryota; Metazoa; Mollusca; Bivalvia; Mytilida; Mytilidae.
ACAUCAGUUGAUUUUAUCAUUCCAAGGAGAGCAUAGUAAAAGUACAUUUUUCAGGAACAUGGGAUCAGCAUCAGGAGUGACACAGGUGGCUGUUAGUCCAGGACAUCAUCUCUUCUCAUGUGGUGUGGAUGGAUCAAUGAAGUUUAGAGCUCUUCCUGAAAGAGAUUCCAUUGUUAGAUAUUGGACAGCUUAACAUAUAAUAGAUCACUGAUAUUCAGAGCUUUCUAGUCUAAUAUAUAUACUGCAUGUAUUUGUUUUACUCCAUCAAACAGGAUUUCAUGGCAAGAAAUAUGCAUUGUGGCAUAUCUUUAAAACUUCUCAUUUUUUCAGGCAUAAUAAAAUUAUUUCUGACAUUCUUAUGGAAAUGACCUAAGAGUCACACUUUUUGACAUUACAUUACAUUUGUGUAAUUCUGACAUUACAUUACAUUUGUGUAAUUCAUAAUUUGAAAAAAUAUCUGAAUAACUGUUAUACCUUAUUAUGUUUUGUUAAUAGAACAAUUUAUAAUCAAAAACCAACCGUUGCUUUGUAAAUGUUCCGGUUAAAUAUUUAAAUCAUGAGAAUAAUUAGAUGUCAUAUAUAAAACAUAUUGACUGUGUGGCUGUUAGCAUCACCUUAACAUAUGAUCACAUCAGUGGGCAUGUAGCAUUCUGUGUUUUAAUGAGCUUGUCCUUACAGAUCGUAGGUGUUUUCCACUAUAAAAUAUAUUUCCUCUACAUUCUAGAGGAAUCCAGAAAUGUGUUUUGAAUUGUAGCCAUGAAAACAAAGUUAUUGCAAAUACUCUGUACUGGUAUAUCUAUCUUUCCAUCUAUCCUUGAAUCAUGUUCCAUUGUCUCAAACGAGAAAAUAUAUUUCUUGAAAGAGAAUCAUAGGGGACCAGUGUUUAUUCAAGUUACUUCUACUUUUUUAUAUUGACUCUCAAUAAUACAGGGUUUAAUGGAUAAGUGUUAUUGACUUUUGUGAAUAUUCUAUUUCAACUUUGACAGUAGAUACUAUAUAUAUAUAUAUAUAUAUAUCAUUUCUUAACUCGCAGAUGAGAAUGAAAUUAUAGGUGAUGUUAUUAUUGAUAUAAACUCAUACAGUUGUUGUUUGAUUACGGAUUUACUUCAUGUUUUGUUCUAUAAAUGCUGAAUACAGUUUUAGGUAAGUGAUAACCAAAAUUCUUCUUGUCAUGGUAACAAAUUCUUUUUUAUUAUUUUAUUAUUGUGUUUGGGGAAACCAUAGGUUUAUCAAAUGGCUGGAACCAUGACCCCCCUGUAAGGAAGAAUAUAUGUAUAGCUCUAAUAAUGUCGAUGUUAUGAUAUAUAUGUACUAUGAUAAUUAUCAAUGUGUAUGUAUGAGAAAAUUUUGAUUUAAUGCAUUAUGUAUGUGUUGUCAUUUAUAACUAAUUUGAAAUAUUAAAAAAAAAAUAAUAACAAUGGUCAGAUGCAGUAUUGUUUAAAUAGACCAGUUCUUUGAGAGAAUUCACGAAAUUGAUUACACUUCUGUUCUGUCCUACGCCACUACCUACAUCAUGAGUAAACACCUUGUAAAUAGUGCCAGAGUUUACACGUUGAAUGGGAAUGGAAGUAUAAAAUUGUACAGAGGUGUAAAUAUUGUUUUAAUUUAUUUCAUCAUCAUUUUGUGUAUGAGUGACUUAUGUUGUAUUAUGGUUCAAAAGGGUAACUUAGUACAUGAUAUUAAAUAUCAUUUUUUGAAUCUACUGUCCUAAGAAUGACUUGUGUGAUAAUGUGUUCAAUUUAAAUCUUUUAAAUUCCAACCAAUUUUACUUCAGAUUUGAAACGUUUCCAAUAUGUUUAUAUUCAUAUGUGUUUAUUGUCAAAUCUGUUGUGAUUUCAUAUCUGUAAUGAGUUACCCUGAUGCAUUAACAAGUUAUCCAUUCUGAAUUAUUGAUAUCAUCAAUUUAAUCAUAUGGUCAACAUAUAACUAGUAAUUUGAACCGAAUAAUAAUCUUUAUUUAACAAGGAAGUGGGAUAACGAAAUAAAUACUUUUGGUUUUGGUCAUUGCAUGUAUUUUGGUGAAUAUUGUCUUAAGGAUGUACUUAGGUGAGGCUUUGGAAUUUGUGUCAAAUGUUUGGACUCCUUGGGUGUUUUUCCAUACAAUACAAUGUAAAAUAUUUUGCCCCAUAACACCCAUUUAUUUUUUUCAUAUAAGACUUAAUAGCUCAUGAAAGGUCAUUUACCAAAAUUUUAGAAGAUUCUUAAUUUUCUUUCUUUUGUUUUGAGACCUAAUAAUACCAAUGCAAAUAUAAGGUAAAAGUCCGAGUCAGCCUUUCCCCGCCAUAUUUUAAAUCUCAAAUAUCUCGAAAAGGAGGUCCAUGACCUAUCAAUAUUUUUAGCUUAUAUUUAUCCUUAAUUGAUGCUCUACCAGCUUAUAGUAUCAAUUUUAACUUCUUAAUUUAUUGAUUUUCACCUUACUUCACCUAAGUACAUGUAUUUCCUUAGGUGUCAAGUGCAUUCAAUUUUUGGCAAUGGAUAUUAUUUUCCAACUCGUCCAUUAACCCUUAUAAUGUAUGGGAAAACUGUUUAAAAUGUCAACUCUAGGAUAUUAUGUGAUGUUUUAUGCAUAUUUGCAGCCUAACUGUAUCAAUUAUGUUCCACUGGGAUAUGCAGUUACAAUACUAUCUUUAAAAGCAUUUAAUCUGUCCAAAGUUAAAAAAAUAUUUCACACCUCUAAAAAUUACAGCCAGCUUUCAUUGUUCUUGAUUUAAACAAAAGUUUCAAUAACCUAAGUCAUA